CCUACGGGGGGCAGCAGUGAGGAAUAUUGGUCAAUGGCCGUAAGGCUGAACCAGCCAAGUCGCGUGAAGGAAGAAGGAUCUAUGGUUUGUAAACUUCUUUUGUCAAGGGACAAAAUCAGGCUCGAGAGCCUGACCGAGGGUACUUGAAGAAAAAGCAUCGGCUAACUCCGUGUCAGCAGCCGCGGUAAUACGGAGGAUGCGAGCGUUAUCCGUAUUUAUUGGGUUUAAAGGGUGCGUAGGCGGACUGUUAAGCAAGCGGUAAAAGCCCGGGGCUCAACCCCGGCGAGCCGUUGAAACUGGCUGUCUUGAGAUGUCGAGAGGGAUGCGGAAUGCGCAGGGUAGCGGUGAAAUGCUUAGAUAUUGCGCAGAACUCCGAUUGCGAAGGCAGCAUACCGGCGGCGAUCUGACGCUGAGGCACGAAAGCGUAGGUAUCGAACAGGAUUAGAUACCCGAGUAGUC
This 459-nucleotide ribosomal RNA is filed under the name uncultured bacterium. RNAcentral describes it as "partial 16S ribosomal RNA". It matches the Rfam family "Bacterial small subunit ribosomal RNA", at positions 338 to 795 of the family's 1533-position model. The record is from RNAcentral.